RNAcentral lists this non-coding RNA (73 nucleotides) under Herbaspirillum sp. RNAcentral's name for it is "Fluoride sequence". It matches the Rfam family "Fluoride riboswitch aptamer (crcB RNA motif)". The record is from RNAcentral. Lineage: Bacteria; Pseudomonadati; Pseudomonadota; Betaproteobacteria; Burkholderiales; Oxalobacteraceae.
AUGCGCGCCGGAGAUGGCAUUCCUCCCCGAACCGCCGCCGGCAUCCGCCGGGGCUGAUGAUGCCUACGGAUAC